UAUAUUUUGGUGUACGAAGCACAUAAGUUUUUGAUACUUUUAGAAAUAGUUUAAUUCUAUUAAAUAUAA
RNAcentral lists this transfer RNA (69 nucleotides) under Nemotelus notatus. Its description in RNAcentral is "tRNA-Gln". The record is from RNAcentral. Lineage: Eukaryota; Metazoa; Arthropoda; Insecta; Diptera; Stratiomyidae.